GCACCUUGCUAUGCUUUUAAUAAAAUAGGUGUUACAAUACAUAGAAGAUUAGCAUGGCCCUUGUGCAAGGAUGACACACACAAAUCGAGAAAUGGUCCAAAUUUUU
This is a small nuclear RNA of Juglans microcarpa x Juglans regia, 106 nucleotides long. The record is from RefSeq and is a predicted model, not a curated record. NCBI's taxonomy places the organism in Eukaryota, Viridiplantae, Streptophyta, Magnoliopsida, Fagales, Juglandaceae.